This 424-nucleotide ribosomal RNA is filed under the name Mantophryne sp. LAO-2013b. RNAcentral's name for it is "partial 16S ribosomal RNA". The record is from RNAcentral. Lineage: Eukaryota; Metazoa; Chordata; Amphibia; Anura; Microhylidae.
CUUAAGCCUUCACAUAAUAUUAAAUAUAUCUAUAGACUUAAAGCUCAAUCAAAUAGGGUACAGCCUAUUUGAAUCAGGAUACAGCCUUCAUCAGAGGGUAAUGCUAUAAUUAUGUGACCAAGUAGGCCUAAAAGCAGCCAUCUUUUAAAAAGCGUUAAAGCCUCCUCACAUACAACACUAAUCCCAAACCAAACCCAAAACCUCUUACCUAAACUGAAUGACUCCAUACCCAUAUGGAAGCCCUUAUGUUAAAACUAGUAACAAGAAUAACUUCUCCAAUAAAUGUAAGUGUAAGCCGAAAUGGACCACCCACCGGCACUUAUCGCUAAUGAGUCCAUAGUAAUAACCCCCCCCAAGAAAACCCUACUAUAUUCCGCGUUAACCUUACACAAGAACUUUCCUGGAAAGAUUAAAAAAGGAGGAA